GGCUGCUGUCACUGAAAAUGUCAAGUUGUGUGUGUAAAAAAACGUAAACAGUGUUGUUGGCUGAUCAAAUUUUGGUAAGUUUUUUAAUAAUUUAGUUCUUAAUUUUACGUAAGUAAGUGCCAUUUUAGCAAAAGUAAGUGGUAGAAGUCGUGCCCAAUGCGUGCUGGCUCCGUCGGAAGCGGUACGUGCAUGUACCGGCGUAGGAAAGUGGUGUGGUGAACAACACAGCACAAGACAGCGGAUAUAAUGCAGAAACGAUAUGGGCCUGCGGCAGGUGUUUGCGACUGUGCGCUGUGUAUGAUUGUGUAUGAUACGCCAAUUUUCCUCUAUCCUGGAACGUGGGCUUACGAGGAACCGUUCAAGAAGAUCCUCCGGAAGCUGUACGGCGACGAGUCGGGCUCUACCAGCACAACACGCUAGAGGCCCAGCCGGCACCGGGUGCCCCGAUUGCGCCGUGAGACAAUGUCGAUCGCGCUCGUUAACAACGUUCGGGGCAGGAAUGCAACCCUUCUGAUCAUUAUCCUCUGCCUCACAAUAGCUGCAGCAGCAACAGGACCGAACCGACCGCACUACUGAUUGCGGUCAAAUUUCCUGGCAGGAGAAAAAAUCCCACAAGUGUAUCGAUUGCAUCGACGGUCGCUCGCUGACGGCACCAACAUGCCACUGAAUAACCCCGGAAAGGCGACAAACAUCACGACAUCACGUUAAAAGUGUUAAUGUGUUAAUUGAACAAACUUGAUGUUAACGAGUUAAGUUUAAUUUUAAGUGCGCUUUAAGGCAUAAAUCGAUAUGGCUAAUUUUAAGUUAAGUGUUUUGACAUGCACGUGUGUGUGAAGGGGCGGAAUAAGCGCUAAGCAAACUAAGCGGCCGCGUAGGGCCCCGUGGUCUUGAGGGGGCCCAAAAAAGGAACUCACCCCCCACUCGCAAGUUAAAUUGCUGCUAAAUCCUUCUCUAGUUUAGAAUAUUUCCCUGCUAGACGCUUAAACCAAUCUUACAUUUAUGUGACUGAUUAGGGCCUCCACUCGUAUGUGCGGGUUUUGCACAACAUUUAAGAUAAAUAAAUUUAGUUUAUAUUAUCAUAAAACACUACGCAUUUUUAAAGGGGGAAUGAACAUGAUGACAUAUAUUUAGUUUGUUAGAAGGUUUGUAUGCACGUUCACUAGUUUAUUUUAUCUGGAUUCUUUGCGGACUGCUUUUCGAUUGCGCAUGUCGCUUUGCCUCGUCUUGUGUUUUACAAACCCCAACAGCAGGGAUGCGGCUAGUCUAUCAUUGGAUUAACCUGGUGGAUCUGGUAGCUUGUAGCGCACCAUACUCGCCUGUCCGCGAUGGGUAGGCCAUGUCAUACCCCUGGUACUGAACGAUCCAGCCCAUAGUCGUUCGCAAGGACAGCUAAAACGGUGUGUCACAGAAUGUGUAACAGAUGGUAGAAAAUGGGUACCUGCGGGUGAGAGAGUCUGUUUCUAAUGUUUUAUUAUCAGUUGGUGACACGUUCAAAUGGAUGUGCACAGAUCACGGCCCGAUCCUGAGGGCUCAUCGUUGAAAGAGGCGCUGUCCGCAUGUGAUGUUCGCAGAGAGGAUCUUGACACGGAACCGAGUGUGGCCGUUCUCUCUCCCUCCCCCUCCCGCGUGUGUUUUUG
This is a long non-coding RNA of Anopheles coluzzii, 1637 nucleotides long. RefSeq lists it as uncharacterized. Lineage: Eukaryota; Metazoa; Arthropoda; Insecta; Diptera; Culicidae. The transcript has 4 exons. The record is from RefSeq and is a predicted model, not a curated record.